ACCUUAACGGUUCUCUGCCCUGUAUAUUAGUGCAUG
This 36-nucleotide unclassified non-coding RNA is filed under the name Fasciola hepatica (liver fluke). Lineage: Eukaryota; Metazoa; Platyhelminthes; Trematoda; Plagiorchiida; Fasciolidae. The record is from RNAcentral.